Molecule: ribosomal RNA, 477 nt
Filed under: uncultured bacterium
Lineage: Bacteria
Description: bacterial SSU rRNA
Rfam family: Bacterial small subunit ribosomal RNA
Source: RNAcentral
CGCUGGCGGCGUGCUUAACACAUGCAAGUCGAACGAUGAAAUUCUGACGGAGGCUUCGGUCAACUGAGGGAUGGAUUAGUGGCGGACGGGUGAGUAACGCGUGAGUAACCUGCCUUUCAGAGUGGAAUAACAUUUGGAAACGAAUGGUAAUACCGCAUAACGUCACGAGGUCGCAUGACCUUGUGACCAAAGGAGCAAUCCGCUGAAAGAUGGACUCGCGUCUGAUUAGCUAGUUGGUGAGGUAACGGCCCACCAAGGCGACGAUCAGUAGCCGGUCUGAGAGGAUGAACGGCCACAAUGGGACUGAGACACGGCCCAUACUCCUACGGGAGGCAGCAGUGGGGAAUAUUACACAAUGGGCGAAAGCCUGAUGCAGCAACGCCGCGUGAGGGAAGACGGUCUUCGGAUUGUAAACCUCUGUCUUUGGUGAAGAAGAAAGUGACGGUAACCAAGGAGGAAGCCACGGCUAACUACGUG